CAAGAAAGUUGGACGAUUGCUGUGUUUUUCACAGAGGAAAGUCCGGGCUCCUCAAGAGCAAAGUGCCAGGUAACGCCUGGCGAAGGUGACUUCAGAGAAAGUGCCACAGAAAAUAUACCGCCAAACGUAAUGUUUGGUAAGGGUGAAAAGGCGGAGUAAGAGCCCACCACACCGAUGGUAACAGCGGUGGUAAGGUAAACCUCACUUGGAGCAAGACUAAAUAGGGACAUGAGUCAAUCUUUGACAUGCAAGCUUUUGUGCAUAUCAUGUCCGGGUUGGUUGCUUGAAGUUGGGCGGCGACGCUCAGCUCAGAUGAAUAAUCGUUGUCACGCCGGUCGUAUAGCCGGCGCGUUACAGAACCCGGCUUAUAGACUUUCUUGCCAU
RNAcentral lists this RNase P RNA (384 nucleotides) under Holosporales bacterium. RNAcentral's name for it is "RNase P RNA component class A". It matches the Rfam family "Bacterial RNase P class A". Rfam says of the family: Ribonuclease P (RNase P) is a ubiquitous endoribonuclease, found in archaea, bacteria and eukarya as well as chloroplasts and mitochondria. Its best characterised activity is the generation of mature 5'-ends of tRNAs by cleaving the 5'-leader elements of precursor-tRNAs. Lineage: Bacteria; Pseudomonadati; Pseudomonadota; Alphaproteobacteria; Holosporales. The record is from RNAcentral.